RNAcentral lists this unclassified non-coding RNA (1551 nucleotides) under Hevea brasiliensis (rubber tree). Lineage: Eukaryota; Viridiplantae; Streptophyta; Magnoliopsida; Malpighiales; Euphorbiaceae. The record is from RNAcentral.
UUUAGUUUCCAGCAAAACAAUACCUCUUCAGGAUUUGGGAAAACUGAAGGUACUCGGAGGGAAACUGAAAGUCGUUUAGGAAAUGGUAGCCGGAGAUGGAUAAUGGUUAUAUACACACCUUACAGAAGGUUUUCAUGGAUCUGAUAUUUCCGAUAUAGUACUUGGCAUGUAAGCCAGCAUCUCGUGAACGUUUUCAGAUCAUGGCAAGCUCAAUGGUCACAACGCCACCAUAAUUGUUAUGAGGUAGGACUCUGCUCCCGAGCCUUUGCCAGCUUUGCUUGGGUAAGCCUGUCCAGGAUAGAAGGUUCCAGAGGAAUUGGAUCAAGACAUCGCUCAGCAGCAGCAACAAUUACCUCAUCAAGCAAAAAAUCAACAGCAGCUUCAUCAUCGGCAGUGUCCUUCAGAGUAGUUUUAAGAAAAUGGAUGUCCAGCUGAAUUUGUUGAAAUCCACUACGGUUAAAAGUCUGAAGUCGGACAAAUUCUUGUAAACUCUUCAAGCAAAGUUUCACGAUAGUAGUUAUUACUGAGUCCUGUGUAUGUUCAACUUUUGUGAAAAUUUCCAUCUUCUGCUUAAACAAUUUCGCCAAAUGGGACUCAAGGAGUUGACUUCUCGCCUGCUGGGUAUUUGACCGUACCAUUCUGUCAUCUCUUAAUGGAUUACUACGGGAGGAAAUGGUGCUCCCACUGCUGUCAGAACGGCGAUGCUUACGCUGGAUCCCUUCAGGCAACAUAUUCUUUACUUCUUUAAUGAUACUAUCUAGCUCUUGAAGAAGCAGAUCAACAAACAUAUGAACUUCUCUGGGCUCUUUAUGCUUGACCCAAUUUGGCGUUGUAAACCUUUUAUUCAAGACAAAUGAUAUCUUCUGAGUUCUCAUGUUAAUAUAAUGCUGCAAGAAUUUUUCACCAGCUGCUCUGAAGGUGCGACAAAUUUCUGCAGGAACAAAAGCUGGACCAUUUUCAUAGCCCCGAGACCCACCACCAGAGAAAGAUGAGGCAAUUUCCUCGGUAAUUCUGGGAAUGGCAUUUUGCUCAACAAAAACAGAGAGUUGAACGAGCACAAGAACAAGCCCAGGAAGUAUUUUGUCUCUCUGUAUUCCCUCAUGAAAGCUUAGAUCUUGACCGGCUGGAUUUUUCUUUCCAGAAAGUAAGAAAAAAUGAUCAUUAAGUUUCCUGAAGAAGUCCUGAAAUCCUUCUUGUACCCAGUCAAUAACCAAAUCUCUCAACUUAGAAAGCAGUUCCAAGUUUUCAUCAAGAAGUUGACGGAAAUCCUGUAAGACAUCCAUACUGCCUUGCACUACUGCCUUUUUACUGGCCUCAAGGAUGGCCUGCAAAGAAUUUUUUUCUUCAAUACCCUCCAUUUGAUUACCCACUUUGACGACAGCACCUGAAAUAUCAAGUAGAAGAUGGCUAAAUCUGCUAGCAACGUACUGUUUAACGGCAACAUGAGCAGCCUCCAUGGUAAUAUCACGCAGACCAGCCUCAGGCAACACUCCAUCCAUGAGCAGCCUCCAUGGUAAUAUCACGCAGACCAGCCUCAGGCAACACUCCAUC